This 468-nucleotide ribosomal RNA is filed under the name uncultured bacterium. RNAcentral's name for it is "partial 16S ribosomal RNA". It matches the Rfam family "Bacterial small subunit ribosomal RNA", at positions 28 to 507 of the family's 1533-position model. The record is from RNAcentral.
GACGAACGCUGGCGGCGUGCUAAACACAUGCAAGUCGAACGGAAAGGCCCUGCUUUUGUGGGGGGCUCGAGUGGCGAACGGGUGAGUAACACGGGAGUAACCUGCCCUGGACUUUGGGAUAACUUCAGGAAACUGGGGCUAAUACCGGAUAGGAGCUCCUGCUGCAUGGUGGGGGUUGGAAAGUUUCGGCGGUUGGGGAUGGACUCGCGGCUUAUCAGCUUGUUGGUGGGGUAGUGGCUUACCAAGGCUUUGACGGGUAGCCGGCCUGAGAGGGUGACCGGCCACAUUGGGACUGAGAUACGGCCCAGACUCCUACGGGAGGCAGCAGUGGGGAAUAUUGCACAAUGGGCGGAAGCCUGAUGCAGCAACGCCGCGUGCGGGAUGACGGCCUUCGGGUUGUAAACCGCUUUCGCCUGUGACGAAGCGUGAGUGACGGUAAUGGGUAAAGAAGCACCGGCUAACUACGUG